AGACGUCUACGAGUUUAUCCUGGCUCAGAACGAACGCUGGCGGCAUGCCUAACACAUGCAAGUCGAACGAGACCUUCGGGUCUAGUGGCGCACGGGUGCGUAACGCGUGGGAAUCUGCCCUUAGGUACGGAAUAACUCAGAGAAAUUUGUGCUAAUACCGUAUGAUGUCGAAAGACCAAAGAUUUAUCGCCUAAGGAUGAGCCCGCGUAAGAUUAGCUUGUUGGUGAGGUAAAAGCUCACCAAGGCGACGAUCUUUAGCUGGUCUGAGAGGAUGAUCAGCCACACUGGGACUGAGACACGGCCCAGACUCCUACGGGAGGCAGCAGUGGGGAAUAUUGGACAAUGGGCGAAAGCCUGAUCCAGCAAUGCCGCGUGAGUGAUGAAGGCCUUAGGGUUGUAAAGCUCUUUUACCAGGGAUGAUAAUGACAGUACCUGGAGAAUAAGCUCCGGCUAACUCUGUG
Molecule: ribosomal RNA, 461 nt
Filed under: uncultured bacterium
Lineage: Bacteria
Description: bacterial SSU rRNA
Rfam family: Bacterial small subunit ribosomal RNA
Source: RNAcentral